CAGUAGCCACGGUAAUACGAAGGGUGCAAGCGUUAAUCGGAAUUACUGGGCGUAAAGCGUGCGUAGGCGGUUUGUUAAGUCUGCUGUGAAAUCCCCGGGCUCAACCUGGGAAUGGCAGUGGAUACUGGCAAGCUAGAGUGUGUCAGAGGAUGGUGGAAUUCCCGGUGUAGCGGUGAAAUGCGUAGAGAUCGGGAGGAACAUCAGUGGCGAAGGCGGCCAUCUGGGACAACACUGACGCUGAGGCACGAAAGCGUGGGGAGCAAACAGGAUUAGAGACCCCCGUAGUCCCUGUCUCUUAUAC
Molecule: ribosomal RNA, 301 nt
Filed under: uncultured bacterium
Lineage: Bacteria
Description: partial 16S ribosomal RNA
Rfam family: Bacterial small subunit ribosomal RNA
Source: RNAcentral